ACUCUCGGCAACGGAUAUCUCGGCUCUCGCAUCGAUGAAGAACGUAGCGAAAUGCGAUACUUGGUGUGAAUUGCAUAAUCCCGUGAACCAUCGAGUCUUUGAACGCAAGUUGCGCCUGAAGCCAUCAGGUUGAGGGCACGUCUGCCUGGGCGUCACGC
Molecule: ribosomal RNA, 158 nt
Filed under: Didymocarpus cordatus
Lineage: Eukaryota; Viridiplantae; Streptophyta; Magnoliopsida; Lamiales; Gesneriaceae
Description: 5.8S ribosomal RNA
Rfam family: 5.8S ribosomal RNA
About the family: 5.8S ribosomal RNA (5.8S rRNA) is a component of the large subunit of the eukaryotic ribosome. It is transcribed by RNA polymerase I as part of the 45S precursor that also contains 18S and 28S rRNA.
Source: RNAcentral